GAGUAGUGGGGUGACGACGCAACUAUCUAUUCUUUUGCUUUUUACUAAAGAAUACCGUGUGCUCGCCCCUCCAAGUGGCAUGCGGCUAUUUUUUUAGGUGUCACUCUCGUUAGAGUGGU
Small nuclear RNA from Cucurbita moschata (crookneck pumpkin), 119 nucleotides. RefSeq annotates it as U5 spliceosomal RNA. The transcript has a single exon. The record is from RefSeq and is a predicted model, not a curated record. NCBI's taxonomy places the organism in Eukaryota, Viridiplantae, Streptophyta, Magnoliopsida, Cucurbitales, Cucurbitaceae.